RNAcentral lists this unclassified non-coding RNA (246 nucleotides) under fungal sp. RNAcentral describes it as "partial internal transcribed spacer region". The stretch from base 1 to 46 matches the Rfam family "Eukaryotic small subunit ribosomal RNA", at positions 1786 to 1831 of the family's 1831-position model. Lineage: Eukaryota; Fungi. The record is from RNAcentral.
AAGUCGUAACAAGGUUUCCGUAGGUGAACCUGCGGAAGGAUCAUUAGAAAUAAUCCGGCAUAGCCGGUAUAAAAUUCUACCCACCUUGUGUGCAAACAAUGGAAAAGAGAGAAAAUUGGAUUCUUUUUUUUUAGCAUCCAACUUCUCUAAAAAUUUUUAUAAACUCCAUCAAAUUUUUAAUUGAAAACAUUUUUUUUUUUAAUAAAAAACAUUAUACAACUUUCAACAACGGAUCUCUUGGCUCUC